UUUUAUUAUUUUGUGUAAAAAGAAAAAAAGAAGAAGUUAAAUCUGUUUGGAAAAUAGAAAAAGAAAAGAGAAGGUCUUGUGAGAUUGGGCCAGAGUUACAGUAUUAGCUAAUCACGUGGGCCUUAAUCUUGUGCAGUCCCAUCAUUAAGAUAUAGGCCAUUGAAUCCAAGCCGCGUCUAUCCAUCCACCAUUAGAUCUGAUUCCCAAUUCAGAGACUCUUUGGAGGAAGCGAAGAGAAGCUAAGCUAAGCGAAGAUGGUGAAAGUGGCCGGCUUUUUCGCCAUGUCAGUGGGAGCCUUUUUAUUUUGGCAAACUAUGGACAAAAUCCAUGUCUGGAAUGCUCUUCGCCAGGAUGAGAAGCAAGAAAGAUUUGAAAAGGAGAUGGAGAUCAAGAGGGUCAGAGAAGAGUUAUUGCGACAAGCUAGAGAUAAGGAUGCUAUUGCAUGAGUUACUUGUAUGGUCAAAUUUCAAUUUCCCUCAUUUCCCCAAAGUACCAUAAUUGGUUGGUGCUUAGUUUUACAAAUGUUGUCACUGAAAAUAAAUGAAUUGGCAAAUUAGUUUGUUCAUGCCAUCUUUUCUUAUCUCUUGUUGCUUAUUCUUCUUUUUUGAUGGACGACAUAUGGAAAUUGUUUAAUUGUUUGUUGAAGUAAUAGCUGCUAUUAUUGAAA
Long non-coding RNA from Populus euphratica (Euphrates poplar), 667 nucleotides. RefSeq lists it as uncharacterized. The transcript is spliced from 2 exons. The record is from RefSeq and is a predicted model, not a curated record. Lineage: Eukaryota; Viridiplantae; Streptophyta; Magnoliopsida; Malpighiales; Salicaceae.